CAAGGAAUAUUGGGCAAUGGGCGAAAGCCUGACCCAGCGACACCGCGUGAGGGAAGAAGGCCUUCGGGUUGCAAACCUCUUUUAUCAGGGAAGAAUAAUGACGGUACCUGAUGAAUAAGCUUCGGCUAACUACAUGCCAGCAGCCGCGGUAAUACGUAGGAAGCAAGCGUUAUCCGGAUUUACUGGGCGUAAAGCGGGUGUAGGCGGCCUGUCAAGUCUGGUGUGAAAUCUCCCGGUUUAACUGGGAAGGUGCAUUGGAUACUGAUGGGCUGGAGUGCAGCAGAGGAAAGCGGAAUUCCCGGUGUAGUGGUGAAAUGCGUAGAUAUCGGGAAGAACACGAGUGGCGAAGGCGGCUUUCUGGGCUGUAACUGACGCUGAGACCCGAAGGCGUGGGUAGCAAACAG
This 404-nucleotide ribosomal RNA is filed under the name uncultured bacterium. RNAcentral's name for it is "bacterial SSU rRNA". It matches the Rfam family "Bacterial small subunit ribosomal RNA", at positions 355 to 775 of the family's 1533-position model. The record is from RNAcentral.